RNAcentral lists this unclassified non-coding RNA (331 nucleotides) under Hevea brasiliensis (rubber tree). Lineage: Eukaryota; Viridiplantae; Streptophyta; Magnoliopsida; Malpighiales; Euphorbiaceae. The record is from RNAcentral.
AAGUAUGAAUAAUCUUAAGAGUACAAUUCGUUCAGAAAAGACGUCUAUAACUAAUAUGGAAGAAAAUGUUGACAGUAAAACAUCUCUGUCUUCUUUUAUAGCCGUUGAGAUUGUUAAUAUGAAAAACACUUCAAAUACAGUUGAGACUGAGGAAUCGCGAAAUAUCUCGUCAAAAGAAUGUGAAGGAAGCACUGACUACGGGGUAAAUGACAUGUCUUCCGGUGCAUCAUCUAUCUGCAGGAAAGCCGAUUCCAACGACGGUGUUCAACUGAUUAAUGAUUUCCAUCAUUCAGAGUUCGUUAAGAAAGAGAGAGAACAAUUGCUAGCUGAG